GAUGAACGCUGGCGGCGUGCCUAAUACAUGCAAGUCGAGCGAACAGACGAGGAGCUUGCUCCUCUGACGUUAGCGGCGGACGGGUGAGUAACACGUGGAUAACCUACCUAUAAGACUGGGAUAACUUCGGGAAACCGGAGCUAAUACCGGAUAAUAUAUUGAACCGCAUGGUUCAAUAGUGAAAGACGGUUUUGCUGUCACUUAUAGAUGGAUCCGCGCCGCAUUAGCUAGUUGGUAAGGUAACGGCUUACCAAGGCAACGAUGCGUAGCCGACCUGAGAGGGUGAUCGGCCACACUGGAACUGAGACACGGUCAAGACUCCUAAGGGAGGCAGCAGUAGGGAAUCUUCCGCAAUGGGCGAAAGCAUGACGGAGCAACGCCGCGUGAGUGAUGAAGGUCUUCGGAUCGUAAAACUCUGUUAUUAGGGAAGAACAAAUGUGUAAGUAACUAUGCACGUCUUGACGGUACCUAAUCAGAAAGCCACGGCUAACUACGUG
RNAcentral lists this ribosomal RNA (497 nucleotides) under uncultured bacterium. RNAcentral's name for it is "partial 16S ribosomal RNA". It matches the Rfam family "Bacterial small subunit ribosomal RNA", at positions 28 to 507 of the family's 1533-position model. The record is from RNAcentral.